CGGACCUGACUGCUAUCGGAUUGAUACUAAGCCAUGCGAGUCAUUGUAGCAAUACAAGGCAGACGGCUCAGUAACGUGUAGUCAACCUACCCUAUGGACGGGAAUAACCUCGGGAAACUGAGUAUAAUGCCCGAUAGAACAUUAUACCUGGAAUGGUUUAUGUUCCAAAUGAUUUAUCGCCGUAGGAUGGGACUGCGGCCUAUCAGUUUGUUGGUGAGGUAAUGGCCCACCAAGACUAUUACAGGUACGGGCUCUGAGAGGAGUGGCCCGGAGAUGGGUACUGAGACACGGACCCAGGCCCUAUGGGGCGCAGCAGGCGAGAAAACUUUGCAAUGUGCGAAAGCACGACAAGGUUAAUCCGAGUGGUUUCUGCUAAAGGAACCUUUUGUCAGUCCUAGAAACACUGAUGAAUAAGGGGUGGGCAAGUUCUGGUGU
This 435-nucleotide ribosomal RNA is filed under the name uncultured archaeon. Its description in RNAcentral is "bacterial SSU rRNA". It matches the Rfam family "Archaeal small subunit ribosomal RNA", at positions 18 to 458 of the family's 1478-position model. The record is from RNAcentral.